GAUGAACGCUGGCGGCGUGCCUAAUACAUGCAAGUCGAGCGAACGGACGAGAAGCUUGCUUCUCUGAUGUUAGCGGCGGACGGGUGAGUAACACGUGGAUAACCUACCUAUAAGACUGGGAUAACUUCGGGAAACCGUAGCUAAUACCGGAUAAUAUUUUGAACCGCAUGGUUCAAAAGUGAAAGACGGUCUUGCUGUCACUUAUGGAUGGAUCCGCGCUGCAUUAGCUAGUUGGUAAGGUAACGGCUUACCAAGGCAACGAUGCAUAGCCGACCUGAGAGGGUGGUCGGCCACCCUGGAACUGAGACACGGUCCAGACUCCUACGGGAGGCAGCAGUAGGGAAUCUUCCGCAAUGGGCGAAAGCCUGACGGAGCAACGCCGCGUGAGUGAUGAAGGUCUUCGGAUCGUAAAACUCUGUUAUUAGGGAGGAACAUAUGUGUAAGUAACUGUGCACAUCUUGACGGUACCUAAUCAGAAAGCCCCGGCUAACUACGUG
RNAcentral lists this ribosomal RNA (497 nucleotides) under uncultured bacterium. RNAcentral describes it as "partial 16S ribosomal RNA". It matches the Rfam family "Bacterial small subunit ribosomal RNA", at positions 28 to 507 of the family's 1533-position model. The record is from RNAcentral.